CGGGGGCUCGCGACGGGGCGCUGCUGCUAGCGGGCGGUCCCUUAGAGAUCCUUCACCAGACGGGUGGGGAAGGUGGUUUUGCUGCCCAGUGAAAACCCGUCUGGAAAAUAAAAGUUUCUUUUUAGAAGAUUCAUUCACUCCAAAGUUGUGGGGUUUUUUGUUGUUUUUUUUUUCUUUAGUAGGCGAGUUGCUCGGGAGCUGCGAAACUUUUAUUCCAAUUGAUUAAAUGCCAGUUUCAUCAGAGCUGUUUACACCACCACGGAAUAAUGAAAGAGCAAUGUUUUUAGCAUAGUGGAUGUGUGAAAAUGGGCCACUGUAAGACUGAAAAUAUGACCAGAUACCAAAGUACUAAUUAAGCUUCUUAAUUGGGAAAAAGAAUGUCUUUUUCAGAUGUUCGUUAACUCCUCACAUCUCUCAGAUAUGUGAAUGCAUAUAGGGCUGAAUGUUUGGGUUUUGGGGUUCCACAAGGUGGUAUGGCAUCUCAGUUGGCUAACACUGUUUCUUCUGUACAGACAAAGUCUUCACUCAAACACCAUCUUGCAACCAAACUCAUCUUGGAAGAGAUGAUUCCCCCCUCCCCCAAGAAAAGCUUGGGGGAGAAAUCCUGCCGGCUGUUUUCUGCUGAGUCACUCCGCUGGCUUAUCAAGAGCCUUUCACCAGUGCUGUAACAUGACUCGUGCCGAUCAAGAUCAAAUCCCCCUUUGUUCAUGUGCUCGGAACCUAAAUUCCCCUUUUCAAGAUAGAAAUAAAAUAUAGUAAAAUGUGGGACACUUGGGAUUUGUUUAUAAUAAAAACCAGCACCCAUUUAAAAUCAAUUUCCAUUUAGUCUUUGCAAGGUGAUGUAUAUCACUAACACAAAUCCACUUGUCUUUAUUUAACCCUUUAUAUGAUUUACUUGCUUCAGAAGUCAUGAAGAAGGGACAGAUGCUCGGGAGAACACCCAAGCCUCCUGAUGGAGGAAGCCACAGCAUGCAGACGAAUCGCAGAUUAUUACAAGUAUCCACAUAGCUGCUGUGUGACCUUUCAAAUCAAAGCCAACCAGGUUCCCUCUGGCAAGAAUUCCAGAAACAGCUGGUACAGGACCAUAUGCCGUGCUGGCACUGCUGUGAGCUUAUUUCCCACUUGUCCUCCUGGUCAAUCAGAACUGCUCCAUGUGCUGAAGGACAGCUGGUCCCUUGGCAUGUGAAGCAGCUAUUGAACUUUUCCUCCCAAAAACCAUAGGGAUAGAGCAUGAUAACUCACAACACUGGCCUUUCCUUUCUUAACUCUUCAUCUGCUACCAAAGAUGGAARUCCUCUAAGGGAGCUUUAUUUGUUGCCCCUCCGUGACAAUCUACACACAGAGGAACUACAUGGACAUGCUUUGUAGGUAGCAGCAUUUAUUUAGAAAAUGAAGAUUAAAUUAUGUGUGUUGUAAAGAACGCUAAAACAAAUUUGAGUGGCUGAUUGAUUUGUGGUUUUAGCUGUUGUCAGCCUCAGCAAGUGCCAGUGUUUCCCUUUUUCAUUCUGACCCCUGCUGGAAAGGGUCUCAAAUGAAUUCCAUAUUCAUUGUCAUAUAAUAUUUUUUCUAUUAAGAAACAUACUGAAGGAGGAAGGCUAACAUGCACAGCAAUUCAGCAUUACAUAUUCAUGGCUUGCAAGCAUUUUACUGCCAGCUAUACAUCUUACUUUCUUGAAAUUGGUCAGUUUAUAAUAUUCCCUAAAAUUUCCUGCUAUGUGCAAUAAAAAGCUGAUUUUCCCUGAGCA
Long non-coding RNA from Apteryx owenii (little spotted kiwi), 1745 nucleotides. NCBI's taxonomy places the organism in Eukaryota, Metazoa, Chordata, Aves, Apterygiformes, Apterygidae. The record is from Ensembl.